CCUACGGGUGGCUGCAGUGGGGGAUAUUGCACAAUGGGGGAAACCCUGAUGCAGCGACGCCGCGUGGGUGAAGGAGUGCUUCGGCAUGUAAAGCCCUAUCGGCAGGGAAGAAACAAGACGGUACCUGACUAAGAAGCCCCGGCUAACUACGUGCCAGCAGCCGCGGUAAUACGAAGGGGGCGAGCGUUAUCCGGAUUAACUGGGUGUAAAGGGGGCGUAGACGGCCAUGCAAGCCAGGGGUGAAAGCCCGGGGCCCAACCCCGGGACUGCCCUUGGAACUGUGCGGCGAGAGUGCGGGAGGGGCAGGUGGAAUUCCUGGUGUAGCGGUGAAAUGCGUAGAUAUCAGGAGGAACACCGGCGGCGAAGGCGGCCUGCUGGACCGCGACUGACGUUGAGGCUCGAAAGUGUGGGGAGCGAACAGGAUUAGAUACCCGAGUAGUC
Molecule: ribosomal RNA, 441 nt
Filed under: uncultured bacterium
Lineage: Bacteria
Description: partial 16S ribosomal RNA
Rfam family: Bacterial small subunit ribosomal RNA
Source: RNAcentral